RNAcentral lists this long non-coding RNA (582 nucleotides) under Phascolarctos cinereus (koala). RNAcentral describes it as "lncRNA (ENSPCIG00000003949.2)". Lineage: Eukaryota; Metazoa; Chordata; Mammalia; Diprotodontia; Phascolarctidae. The record is from RNAcentral.
CAGGCACGUAUGUGUUUUACAUCACUAACGUCUGAGGUGGUCAUUUUGUAUUUCUUCAUCCUGCAAAUACAAACAGCAUAUAUAACCUCUUUUUCUCAGGUUAGUAAAAAACAUUGUGAAAGAAAAGUGGCAUCCCAGUCUCCCAGCUACAAUCAUCAUUGUUGAGUAUCUAGUCAACAGUCUAUCUGGAACAGGAGAUUUCCCCAUUAAAUCCCUCACUUCCUCAAGUAAAUGGUAUCAGAAGGAAUGAGCAAACCAAGUACUUCAUGGGAGCUCAAAAAAAGUCCUUUUCUAAGUGACAAAAAGAGUUCUCUACAAUUCAAGAGAACAGAUUCACAAACAUCUCUGGAAGACUUGUUCACACUCUCUUUGCCAGUACCUGAAUCUUGGGAGGAAGAUGAAGACAAGAAUCAUGAGGAAGUGGACAGAUUCUGUCUCCCCUGUAUAACAUUAUUGAUCUUAAUUUUAUCAUUUAUCAUUUUUGUUAUUAUUCUUAUGAUGAUGUAUUUAUAUUAAACAUGAUACUAUGCAUCACACACCUGACCAUCACCCCACCUCCCACAAUCAUUAGCUGGGUGGCAA